Molecule: long non-coding RNA, 464 nt
Organism: Gallus gallus (chicken)
Lineage: Eukaryota; Metazoa; Chordata; Aves; Galliformes; Phasianidae
Source: Ensembl
GGCUUUCUGUUGUUUCUGCACGGAGAUAGAUUAAGCUGCUAGGUAUCAUUUUCACUCCUAAUGAACAUGUGUCUUGUCAACAAGUUAUUGCAAGUACUUUCCAACUCAGAUAUCUAUUACCAGGUCAAACGGUGAGCUGUUCAGCACAGUGCCUUCCCCUUCAACAUAAAAGACUUAAAGAAGAAAUCGAAGCCACAUUUCCAGUUGUUCUUAUAAAACAGAUCCUACAGAGCAAGGACUCACCAAGCAACCCCGGGAUGUCUCAUGAAUUUUUAUGUAAGUUAUUGGAAAUUCAAGGAUGUCUUAUAAAAUGUAUGACCUGAAGAAAAAUUCUAAAUCCGUGAUAUUUAUCUCAAGCAUUGAAGUUCCCCCGCGCUGUGAGACUUUUAGGGAAAUUAAGGGGGGCUAAUAUGGAUUGGGUAUUGAUUAGUCCUAAUGUUUCUGUGCAUUUAAUAAGAACGGGG